GAUGAAGAACGCAGCGAAAUGCGAUAAGUAAUGCGAAUUGCAGAAUUUCCGUGAAUCAUCGAAUCUUUGAACGCACAUUGCGCCCCCUGGUAUUCCGGGGGGCAUGCCUGUCCGAGCGUCAUUACAACCCUCAAGCUCAGCUUGGUGUUGGGCCCCGCCGCCCCGGCGGGCCCUAAAGUCAGUGGCGGUGCCGUCCGGCUCCGAGCGUAGUAAUUCUUCUCGCUCUGGAGGUCCGGUCGUGUGCUCGCCAGCAACCCCCAAUUUUUUUCAGGUUGACCUCGGAUCAGGUAGGGAUACCCGCUGAACUUAAGCAUAUCAAUAAGCGGAGGA
This 330-nucleotide unclassified non-coding RNA is filed under the name soil metagenome. Its description in RNAcentral is "partial contains 5.8S ribosomal RNA, internal transcribed spacer 2, and large subunit ribosomal RNA". The stretch from base 1 to 121 matches the Rfam family "5.8S ribosomal RNA", at positions 35 to 154 of the family's 154-position model. The record is from RNAcentral.